AUUGAACGCUGGCGGCAUGCUUUACACAUGCAAGUCGAACGGUAACAGGCCUUCGGGUUCUGACGAGUGGCGAACGGGUGCGUAAUGCUUCGGAACGUGCCCAGAGGCUGGGGAUAACGCACCGAAAGCUGUGCCAAUACCGCAUGUGACCUGAGGAUGAAAGCGGCGGACCAGGCAGCAAUGUUUGGCCUUUCGCCCUUUGAGCGGCCGAUGUCAGAUUAGUUAGUUGGUGGGGUAAAGGCCGACCAAGCCGACGAUCUGUAGCUGGUCUGAGAGGACGACCAGCCACACUGGGACUGAGACACGGCCCAGACUCCUACGGGAGGCAGCAGUGGGGAAUUUUGGACAAUGGGCGCAAGCCUGAUCCAGCAAUGCCGCGUGCGGGAAGAAGGCCUUCGGGUUGUAAACCGCUUUUGUACGGAACGAAAAGGCUCUGGCUAAUACCUGGGGCUGAUGACGGUACCGUAAGAAUAAGCACCGGCUAACUACGUG
RNAcentral lists this ribosomal RNA (492 nucleotides) under uncultured bacterium. RNAcentral describes it as "partial 16S ribosomal RNA". It matches the Rfam family "Bacterial small subunit ribosomal RNA", at positions 30 to 507 of the family's 1533-position model. The record is from RNAcentral.